GUUGACGCGUACGUUAGGGCAUGGCCCUGAGCCAAUGAUAUAAGUCUACAGAUUGCUUGAAAGCAAUCAUAUCCCAAAAAAUGAAUGUAAAGGAGCAAACAGUUUUAGUGUUUUUACGGAUUGAAAUCCCACAAUCAUGGAAUGGACAAACAGUCGUAAAGGGUUGUGUGUGACCCUGUGUAUCUACUGAGAUUGCUGCUAUCAGUGUAAAAGUGUUAUGUUCAAUGCCAACAAUAGAUAAAUUAAAACUGUCAAUCAGUAAAAAUACAGUUUUCCUUAAAUUGUUUUUUUUACUUUAGAUGUGACCUGCAAUGAAAGAACAAAAGUGAAAUGUCACUCCUGCUUUACUUAUGGUUGAAUUGCUGUUGAAAGUCUAAAAUAUGGAGGUAAAGCUACAAUUAUCACAUAGACUUAAAACUGACGAUUCAUGAAAACAAGGUCAAGGUGAUAUAAUCUAUGCCGGCCUGGCAGAUAUGUAUACCUUGCAAUCAUUCAAUACACCAAAUAAAGCAGUCCUUUUGAUCACAGUAUCUGAGAAAUGGACCAAACCGCAAAAAGUUUUUGACAACAGAGCUAUUGAAUGAGGCAAAGGUAAGCUUAAACCUGCCAGAUAGACACAGAGGAGAAUCCAAGUAUCGUAAUUAAAAAUCUGUGAAGAUAUAACGCUGAGAGAAGGAAUAUCUUUUUUUAUAAUUGCAAGCUUAAAAGUCAUAUAGAUCAAAAGAAACAUGAUAUUUUGUUUUUAAGACGAUUACAAAAGGGGGAGAGGGGCAUUGGAUCGGCCACUGGAAAUAUACGCCUCAAUCAAUACUCAAAACAAAGCAGCUCUAUUGCUUGAAGUUUUUGAAAAAUAGACCAAACCACAAAAACAAAACAUGUCCAAUGAAACAUGAGAAUGAGGUCAAGGUCAGAUGAAACCUGCAGUCAGACAUGUAGACCUUACAAUCAUCCCAUACCCCAAAUACAGUUGAUCCAUUGCUUAUAGUAUCUGAGAUACAGACUUGUUUAAUUAAACUAAACCAUGUUUACUGAUCCGAGAAAUGAGCUCAUGGCCAGGUGAACUCUGUCAAACAGAAAUAUAGACCUUGCAAGACCCAUAUAAUAAACAUAGUUAUCAUAUACUUAAACUAAAUAACAUAUGAUUUUUACAGUAUGAUAAUAGCAUUAAAUUAACGUAAACUUCAUAUUUUUCGAAUUGGUGCCUAGAGGCUGAUAUGAAAAGUUUAUCACAUGCUUUGACUGUUAAUUAUUACAUGCCUUUCCGUAACGUUCUCGCAUGGCAUUCCUGUGAUACUCUACAAAUUCCGGAAAUACACCUCCAUGCUACGUUUUCAGUGAAAAACAUUACAAAGUAGUGUACAAAGCAAUUAUUUUGAUACUGGGAAAUAUAUGUAAAAUAAUAAAAAAAAAAAUUUUUUUUUUUUAAAUAAAUGCAUUUCUU
Molecule: long non-coding RNA, 1441 nt
Filed under: Mytilus galloprovincialis (Mediterranean mussel)
Lineage: Eukaryota; Metazoa; Mollusca; Bivalvia; Mytilida; Mytilidae
Source: RNAcentral